This 424-nucleotide ribosomal RNA is filed under the name uncultured Lachnospiraceae bacterium. Its description in RNAcentral is "bacterial SSU rRNA". It matches the Rfam family "Bacterial small subunit ribosomal RNA", at positions 355 to 794 of the family's 1533-position model. Lineage: Bacteria; Bacillati; Bacillota; Clostridia; Lachnospirales; Lachnospiraceae. The record is from RNAcentral.
UGGGGAAUAUUGCACAAUGGGCGAAAGCCUGAUGCAGCGACGCCGCGUGAACGAAGAAGUAUUUCGGUAUGUAAAGUUCUAUCAGCAGGGAAGAAGAAAUGACGGUACCUGACUAAGAAGCUCCGGCUAAAUACGUGCCAGCAGCCGCGGUAAUACGUAUGGAGCAAGCGUUAUCCGGAUUUACUGGGUGUAAAGGGAGCGUAGGCGGUCUUAUAAGUCUGAUGUGAAAGCCCGGGGCUCAACCCCGGGACUGCAUUGGAAACUGUAGGACUAGAGUGUCGGAGGGGUAAGUGGAAUUCCUAGUGUAGCGGUGAAAUGCGUAGAUAUUAGGAGGAACACCAGUGGCGAAGGCGGCUUACUGGACGAUUACUGACGCUGAGGCUCGAAAGCGUGGGGAGCAAACAGGAUUAGAUACCCUGGUAGU